AACGCACAUUGCGCCCUCCGGUAUUCCGGAGGGCAUGCCUGUUCGAGCGUCAUUACAACCCUCAAGCCCCCGGCUUGGUAUUGGGCAUCGCCGGUCACGGCGUGCCUUAAAAUCAGUGGCGGUGCCAUCUGGCUCUAAGCGUAGUAACACUCUCGCUCUGGGUGCCCGGUGGUCGCUGGCCAGCAACCCCAUCUUUUUAAGGUUGACCUCGGAUCAGGUAGGGAUACCCGCUGAACUUAA
Molecule: unclassified non-coding RNA, 240 nt
Filed under: uncultured fungus
Lineage: Eukaryota; Fungi
Description: partial contains 5.8S ribosomal RNA, internal transcribed spacer 2, and large subunit ribosomal RNA
Rfam family: 5.8S ribosomal RNA (bases 1-52)
Source: RNAcentral